CGCGUAGGCGGAUAGUUUAGUCAGAGGUGAAAGCCCAGGGCUCAACCUUGGAAAUGCCUUUGAUACUGGCUAUCUUGAGUACGGGAGAGGUGUGUGGAACUCCGAGUGUAGAGGUGAAAUUCGUAGAUAUUCGGAAGAACACCGGUGGCGAAGGCGACACACUGGCCCGUUACUGACGCUGAGGCGCGAAGGCGUGGGGAGCAAACA
This 207-nucleotide ribosomal RNA is filed under the name uncultured bacterium. Its description in RNAcentral is "partial 16S ribosomal RNA". It matches the Rfam family "Bacterial small subunit ribosomal RNA", at positions 568 to 774 of the family's 1533-position model. The record is from RNAcentral.